RNAcentral lists this ribosomal RNA (111 nucleotides) under Octodon degus (degu). Lineage: Eukaryota; Metazoa; Chordata; Mammalia; Rodentia; Octodontidae. The record is from RNAcentral.
GUCUACGGCCAUACCACCCUGAACGUGCCUGAUCUCGUCUGAUCUCGGAAGCUAAGUCAGGGUCGGGCCUGGUUAGUACUUGGAUGGGAGAAAAGAAUGCAAACCUAGAGU